RNAcentral lists this ribosomal RNA (374 nucleotides) under uncultured organism. Its description in RNAcentral is "partial 16S ribosomal RNA". It matches the Rfam family "Bacterial small subunit ribosomal RNA", at positions 527 to 896 of the family's 1533-position model. The record is from RNAcentral.
GUAGGUGGCAAGCGUUGUCCGGAAUUAUUGGGCGUAAAGCGCGCGCAGGCGGUUCUUUAAGUCUGAUGUGAAAGCCCACGGCUCAACCGUGGAGGGUCAUUGGAAACUGGAGAACUUGAGUACAGAAGAGGAAAGCGGAAUUCCACGUGUAGCGGCGAAAUGCGUAGAGAUGUGGAGGAACACCAGUGGCGAAGGCGGCUUUCUGGUCUGUAACUGACGCUGAGGCGCGAAAGCGUGGGGAGCAAACAGGGAUUAGAUACCCUGGUAGUCCACGCCGUAAACGAUGAGUGCUAAGUGUUAGGGGGGUUUCCGCCCCCUUAGUGCUGCAGCUAGCGCAUUAAGCACUCCGCCCUGGGAGUACGGCCGCAAGGCUG